GGUGGGUAGCUGGAUCAGGAAGUGUAUGGAUGGGUAGCUGGAUCAGGAAGUGUAUGGAUGGGUAUGCUGGAUCAGGAAGUGUGUGGGUGGGUACUUCCACGGCGCCAGACCAGGCCUGCUGGAGAGACAGGCUGCAAGGCCCACCCCAUCUCACCUCAACCGAAAACUACACCACCUGUAGCUUUGUACCAGAGGCUUAUCAUCAUCACCUGUAGUGUGUGUGUUUGUGUGUGUGUGAACUUCAUAACACCUCAUUAAGAGUUGAGUGCUCUUUAGUGCUGAGGGCUCAGUCAGGUGUAUUCUACAACCAUCGUUUUAGUUACGCCAGGAUAAGUGUGAUUUCCCCAUUCAUUCCUCUUCUAUUUUACCAGGAAGACUCCGAUUUCAGUACAGACGGCUCAUGGUUUGUUUAGCUGGCAAGCCGUGUCCACACCAGAGAGUAAUUAUGCGGUAAGGGCACAGUGGUGUGUCCACUUUAAAAAAAAUACGCUGCAGGUGGCAGAAGGUUGGCACACAUAAAACACACACACAGUAGUACAGUGAAUGAAACAGCUGCCCUGGAGAUUAGGGCAUGUCUGAAUUAUGGGUAAACUGGCAGGUUUCAUCAACGACUGCUGUGUUGACAUGGAACAAGAUGUCCAGAUUAAGUACCCCCUCACCACUCCUUCUCCCCAUCCUCUCUCUCCGACACCCCAACCGUCCUUCCCCUCCCACACCCUACCCCUCCCUCUCCCCCUCACCCCAAAACGCCCCCCCCCCCUCCUCCCUCCUCUCCUCCUCACCCACCUCACACCAUAACUUCUUUCCUCGCCUCCAUCAACCCAAAACUUCCCUCCCUCCUCCCCUUCUUCCUCACCUCAACCCAAAACAUCCCUCCUCUCCUCCCUCCUCUCCUCCUCACCCAAUAACCUCUCUCCUCCCCUCCAUCAACCCAAAACUUCCCUCCAUCCUCCCCUCCUUCACCACCUCACCCCAAAACUUCCCUCCUCACCUAUCUCCCUCCUCACCUCCCUCACCCCACCACUUCUAACAGGUUUUUCUGUGCCUGGAAACAUUACCAUAAUGAGCUAUGAGCCAUUCCAAAGCACUCAGCUUCUCUGAAGGUUUUUCAUUGUAUUAAUUAAGUCUAUUGCUCUGCGCUCGCUCCCUCAUCCCCAUGUUCCUGGAGGUAUGAACCCACUGAACCUACCUGGGAUGAGGAUUUGUUUCACUCCAAUCUCUUCCGUUUUUUCUUCAUAAUCCAGAAAUCACAGAGUGAUGCCAGCUUAUAACUGAAAGCCUGUGAAAAACAGUGGAAUUUUGUAAGAGAUUUUUUAAAUCAUGUGAGAUUUACUGCCAGUGUUGUAGGUGUAUGUGUUGUACAUGGUGUAAUGUUGCUGUUCCUUUCUCACGUAUGGCCUUUUCUCGUGUGUGUGCGUGCGUGCAUGCAUGCGUGUACGUGUGUGCACAAGUGUGUGUGUGCGCACUGCCAUCAGAGAGCUGCUCCCUUACUUCAUGGCGUAGACAGCAGACCCUGGUGAUAAAGACUAUGACAAGUUUUAAGUUGCUGGAGCAGGCCGAGACUCCACAGGACUUACAGUGCAAGUGCAGCAAAUGGUUCAGAGGGUUGGAUUCUUUGGAAUUCUAGUCUGCGCCUCUAUUACCAAUCCAACGUUUGACCUGGCAGAUAGAUAUAACAUGGUUCCCUUUUGGACCUUUUUUUGGAGCAACGCUAAUUGGGAAAGCCAUAGCCAAAAUGCACAUUCAG
Oncorhynchus keta (chum salmon) is the source of this 1747-nucleotide long non-coding RNA. RefSeq lists it as uncharacterized. The record is from RefSeq and is a predicted model, not a curated record. The transcript has 3 exons. NCBI's taxonomy places the organism in Eukaryota, Metazoa, Chordata, Actinopteri, Salmoniformes, Salmonidae.